ACUCCUACUCACGCAUCACUUACGCGGAGCAUCUAUACUAGUUACAUGUAGCUCUGUCGAUGGUGACGGGUGAUCCUUCAUAAUGGGGAAAUUAAAAGAUAACAGAAGGAAUAAAGGAGCAAGGCCGAGGGAAGCCAGCCUGAAAAAUUCCCAUUGCGGAUCAUCGGCUUUGCCGCCUUUCUGUCCUUCACAGGCCCUCGGCGGCAUCGCGGAUUCCCUCAGAUUGCAGUGCCCUCUACGGAUCGAGCGUUCUUUGCCGGAGAAGGCUAAUAGUGAUACUCUUGAUAAAGAAUUGGUUCCUGUUGAGCAUGGUAGAUUUAAUUCUGUUCUCUUUUGUGCAUCAUGGUGUCCAUUCUCGCAGAAUAUUCAACCCAUUUUUGAUGCACUGAGCUCCAUUUUUCCAAAAAUAAGGCAUUUAACAGUUGAAGAGAGUUCUGCUUUGCCUAGUGCCUUUUCAUGAUAUGGGAUCCACAGUUUUCCAUCCAUCUUCUUAGCCAACAGAACUGCAAUAAUUAGAUAUCACGGCUCAAAAGAUCUUGAUUCACUAGUUCCGUUCUACAGGGAAACUACAGGCCAAGAUCCAGUUGUAUACUUCUCUGAGGACCAGGCCAAGGAAAAGAGAAAGGUUGUCCUGCUAUGGAGGAUACCAACAAGAGAAUUCAUAAACAAUGAACCCUAUCUAGCAUUUUCUAUACUUUUCGUUAUCUUAAGGUCACUUGUUUAUUUCGUCUUUAAGAUCAUCUCCCAACUCAAAACCUUACGGAUGUUCUAUGCUCGCCACCAAAUGAAACUGCGCUGCUUUAGUGAAAUGAGCGAACCCCUUUGGCGUGUUCUUCAUGUAAUUAACAUGAAGAAAGCAUGGAACAAACUUCGACUCUCAAACAAAAAAAUAAAUUUUGAUAAAGGGGCUAAGAGUGCUAG
This is an RNA transcript of Dendrobium catenatum, 921 nucleotides long. It is a transcript of the gene named 5'-adenylylsulfate reductase-like 5, with no coding region annotated. NCBI's taxonomy places the organism in Eukaryota, Viridiplantae, Streptophyta, Magnoliopsida, Asparagales, Orchidaceae. The transcript is spliced from 5 exons. The record is from RefSeq and is a predicted model, not a curated record.